This 429-nucleotide ribosomal RNA is filed under the name Chloroflexota bacterium. RNAcentral describes it as "Chloroflexi bacterium partial 16S ribosomal RNA". It matches the Rfam family "Bacterial small subunit ribosomal RNA", at positions 355 to 776 of the family's 1533-position model. The record is from RNAcentral. Lineage: Bacteria; Bacillati; Chloroflexota.
UGGGGAAUAUUGCACAAUGGGCGCAAGCCUGAUGCAGCCAUGCCGCGUGUGUGAAGAAGGCCUUCGGGUUGUAAAGCACUUUCAGCGGGGAGGAAGGCGAUAAGGUUAAUAACCUUGUCGAUUGACGUUACCCGCAGAAGAAGCACCGGCUAACUCCGUGCCAGCAGCCGCGGUAAUACGGAGGGUGCAAGCGUUAAUCGGAAUUACUGGGCGUAAAGCGCACGCAGGCGGUUUGUUAAGUCAGAUGUGAAAUCCCCGGGCUCAACCUGGGAACUGCAGCUGAUACUGGCAAGCUUGAGUCUCGUAGAGGGGGGUAGAAUUCCAGGUGUAGCGGUGAAAUGCGUAGAGAUCUGGAGGAAUACCGGUGGCGAAGGCGGCCCCCUGGACGAAGACUGACGCUCAGGUGCGAAAGCGUGGGGAGCAAACAGG